AGAGUUUGAUCAUGGCUCAGAGCGAACGCUGGCGGCGUACUUAACACAUGCAAGUCGAACGAGGAGCCUCGAUGUAGCAAUACAUCGGUGCUUCUAGUGGCGAACGGGUGAGUAACACGUGGGGAACCUGUCCUCCAGUCGGGGAUACCCGCUCGAAAGGGCGGCUAAUACCGGAUGCGUUCUCGAGGUCGCAAGAUCUUGAGAGGAAAGGCGGCGAAAGCUGUCGCUGGUGGAGGGCCUUGCGGCCUAUCAGCUAGUUGGUGAGGUAAUGGCUCACCAAGGCUAUGACGGGUAGCUGGUCUGAGAGGACGACCAGCCACGCGGGGACUGAGACACGGCCCCGACUCCUACGGGAGGCAGCAGUGGGGAAUUUUCCGCAAUGGGCAAAAGCCUGACGGAGUGACGCCGCGUAGGGGACGAAGGCCUUCGGGUUGUAAACCCCUGUCAGAGGGAAAGAAGGGCCGCUGGGUCAAUACCCCGGCGGUCUGACGGUACCUUCAGAGGAAGCCCCGGCCAACCCUGUGCCAGCAGCCGCGGUA
RNAcentral lists this ribosomal RNA (539 nucleotides) under uncultured bacterium. RNAcentral describes it as "bacterial SSU rRNA". It matches the Rfam family "Bacterial small subunit ribosomal RNA", at positions 8 to 522 of the family's 1533-position model. The record is from RNAcentral.